Non-coding RNA from Podarcis muralis (Common wall lizard), 656 nucleotides. NCBI's taxonomy places the organism in Eukaryota, Metazoa, Chordata, Lepidosauria, Squamata, Lacertidae. The record is from RefSeq and is a predicted model, not a curated record.
CCCUCCCGGAUAUAUUCUGCAACAUUGAUUGAUUGAUUGAUUGAUUGAUUGAUUAAACUUAUAUCCCUUCCUUUCUGCCAAAGGAGCCCAGGGCAGUAAACAACAAGCAAGAAUACUCUGUUUAAAAACCGCCCAUGAAGGAGCGUCCACACCUUCUGAGCCGCCCUGGCUGUGUGAACAAGAGGAAUUCUGAUCAAUGACCUUUAGGUUCAGACAUAUAUGGGACAGGACAAGCUUUGGAUGGAAGAGUGCUGUGGGUCUCCCUCCUACCCUUUAGGAAAGGGAAGUGGCUCCAUGGUCAAGCUACUGAUGUGAAUGCAGAAGAUCCCAGGUUCAGUCCAGAUACUUUUAAACAACCAGUUGCUGGACGUGUGGAUUUGCUUGGAAUGCUGUUAGCAGCAACAAACACACAGACAAAUGAACAGGAAGACGGCUGGUUGUACACUGGAUGUACACUGACUUUGUGCCAUAUGCACUAGAAUCUUUGAAAAAUCUCCAUGGGCAUACUGUCAUUUAAUAAAUAAUCCACGCCCUUGUACCAUUGCAUGCUAUGUACCAUUGAAUGCCACAGUGACUGAAUGCUGUCAGAUAUCACAUUGGAAUGAUUUCCCCACCCCCUUUCCUUUUCCCUGAAAAGCUGAAAUGGUUGUGCAACC